UGGGGAAUAUUGGACAAUGGGCGCAAGCCUGAUCCAGCAAUGCCGCGUGAGUGAUGAAGGCCUUAGGGUUGUAAAGCUCUUUUACCCGGGAUGAUAAUGACAGUACCGGGAGAAUAAGCUCCGGCUAACUCCGUGCCAGCAGCCGCGGUAAUACGGAGGGAGCUAGCGUUAUUCGGAAUUACUGGGCGUAAAGCGCACGUAGGCGGCUUUGUAAGUAAGAGGUGAAAGCCCAGGGCUCAACUCUGGAAUUGCCUUUUAGACUGCAUCGCUUGAAUCAUGGAGAGGUCAGUGGAAUUCCGAGUGUAGAGGUGAAAUUCGUAGAUAUUCGGAAGAACACCAGUGGCGAAGGCGGCUGACUGGACAUGUAUUGACGCUGAGGUGCGAAAGCGUGGGGAGCAAACA
RNAcentral lists this ribosomal RNA (402 nucleotides) under uncultured bacterium. Its description in RNAcentral is "bacterial SSU rRNA". It matches the Rfam family "Bacterial small subunit ribosomal RNA", at positions 355 to 774 of the family's 1533-position model. The record is from RNAcentral.